Molecule: ribosomal RNA, 301 nt
Filed under: uncultured bacterium
Lineage: Bacteria
Description: partial 16S ribosomal RNA
Rfam family: Bacterial small subunit ribosomal RNA
Source: RNAcentral
CAGUAGCCACGGGAAUACGUAGGGUGCGAGCGUUAAUCGGAAUUACUGGGCGUAAAGCGCACGUAGGCGGAUCGAUCAGUCAGGGGUGAAAUCCCAGAGCUCAACUCUGGAACUGCCUUUGAUACUGUCGAUCUGGAGUAUGGAAGAGGUGAGUGGAAUUCCGAGUGUAGAGGUGAAAUUCGUAGAUAUUCGGAGGAACACCAGUGGCGAAGGCGGCUCACUGGUCCAUUACUGACGCUGAGGUGCGAAAGCGUGGGGAGCAAACAGGAUUAGAGACCCCAGUAGUCCCUGUCUCUUAUAC